CUGCAACUCGCCUACAUGAAGCUGGAAUUGCUAGUAAUCACAGGUCAGCAUACUGUGGUGAAUACGUUCCCGGGCCUUGUACACACCGCCCGUCACGCCAUGAGAGUUGAGAAUACCCGAAGUCCAUGUCAAAGUGGCCGAAGGUAGGCUUGAUGAUUGGGGUGAAGUCGUAACAAGGUAUC
RNAcentral lists this ribosomal RNA (182 nucleotides) under uncultured bacterium. Its description in RNAcentral is "partial 16S ribosomal RNA". It matches the Rfam family "Bacterial small subunit ribosomal RNA", at positions 1305 to 1500 of the family's 1533-position model. The record is from RNAcentral.